RNAcentral lists this long non-coding RNA (822 nucleotides) under Zostera marina. RNAcentral describes it as "long non-coding RNA (ZMAR_LNC005646)". Lineage: Eukaryota; Viridiplantae; Streptophyta; Magnoliopsida; Alismatales; Zosteraceae. The record is from RNAcentral.
UAUUAUGAUUUCAGGUUUGGAUUCGAUCCUCUCAUGUUUGAUAUACGCCAUAAUUUAUGACGCAAUCAUAAACUUGUGAUUAUAGUAUAAUUCUAAUUCUCAUUAUACUAAUUCUCAUCCGAUUGGAUCAAGGAAGACUAGACAAAUUUAAUACACAUGGACGGAUCAAAGAUCAAUGCUUGAAAUUGAGAAAUCAUACAUUGAUUGAAGGUGGAAUUUAUAUCAAUUCGAUUCAAUGGAGCCCUAAGAGAGAAUAUUUCUCUUUUUCCCUUUAUCUUUCUUUCUCUCCAUAUUUGAACAGAUUUAGGGAUUUAAUUCCCAAAAUUGUGAAAUCGCCGCCCGCUCCAAGAAGAGCUCGUCAGCGGCGAACGUUGAUUGUCACCAGAUGGCGAACUCCGGUGAAGCUUUAGGAAAUAACAACAACCUCCUCUUUCUAUUUCUCACGUCUCUCCAGGAUCAGAGAUCUAAUCUUCAUGGUAGAAUGAGGAACCUCCGGUUUUCUUGUCGAUUCAUGAAUCAUCACCGCCUUUCCUUUUAGCUUCCUCCUUCUCUCGGAGUCAUCGUUUUGAUCGGUAAAAGAACCGACUUCCUGUUCUACAGAAUUGUUAUGAGACUGAGAUCCAUCUUCACUUGCAAAUGAAAAUGACCCAGUUUGGGUGAGACCCACAGAAGAAAAGUGUGCGGAUACAAGGUUUAGUCUCUUCUCAAAAGAGAUAUCAUCGAUAAAUAUCUGCCAAAUAUUAAUUAUCGAAAAAAAUUACAUAUUCAUGAAUGAAUUUACCUCCGAUUCAGUUAGAAGAUCAAUCUUCUCUUUCAAAUAUG